GUGGGGAAUCUUGCGCAAUGGACGAAAGUCUGACGCAGCCACGCCGCGUGAGUGAAGAAGGCCUUCGGGUUGUAAAGCUCUGUCGGAAGGGACGAACAUUGGAGUGGUUAACAGCCAUUUCAACUGACGGUACCUUUAGAGGAAGCACCGGCUAACUCCGUGCCAGCAGCCGCGGUAAUACGGAGGGUGCAAGCGUUGCUCGGAAUUAUUGGGCGUAAAGGGUAGGUAGGUGGUCUCAUUUGUCUUAUGUGAAAUCCCUGGGCUUAACUCAGGAAGUGCGUAAGAAACGGUGAGACUGGAGUACUGGAGAGGGUCGUGGAAUUCCCGGUGUAGCGGUGAAAUGCGUAGAGAUCGGGAGGAACACCAGAGGCGAAGGCGGCGACCUGGACAGUGACUGACACUCAACUACGAAAGCGUGGGGAGCAAACAGGAUUAGAUACCCGUGUAGUCC
This 451-nucleotide ribosomal RNA is filed under the name uncultured bacterium. RNAcentral's name for it is "bacterial SSU rRNA". It matches the Rfam family "Bacterial small subunit ribosomal RNA", at positions 354 to 796 of the family's 1533-position model. The record is from RNAcentral.